Molecule: ribosomal RNA, 497 nt
Filed under: uncultured bacterium
Lineage: Bacteria
Description: partial 16S ribosomal RNA
Rfam family: Bacterial small subunit ribosomal RNA
Source: RNAcentral
GAUGAACGCUGGCGGCGUGCCUAAUACAUGCAAGUCGAGCGAACAGACGAGGAGCUUGCUCCUCUGACGUUAGCGGCGGACGGGUGAGUAACACGUGGAUAACCUACCUAUAAGACUGGGAUAACUUCGGGAAACCGGAGCUAAUACCGGAUAAUAUAUUGAACCGCAUGGUUCAAUAGUGAAAUACGGUUUUGCUGUCACUUAUAGAUGGAUCCGCGCCGCAUUAGCUAGUUGGUAAGGUAACGGCUUACCAAGGCGACGAUGCGUAGCCGACCUGAGAGGGUGAUCGGCCACACUGGAACUGAGACACGGUCCAGGCUCCUGCGGGAGGCAGCAGUAGGGAAUCUUCCGCAAUGGGCGAAAGCCUGACGGAGCAACGCCGCGUGAGUGAUGGAGGUCUUCGGAUCGUAAAACUCUGUUAUUAGGGAAGAACAAAUGUGUAAGUAACUAUGCACGUCUUGACGGUACCUAAUCAGAAAGCCACGGCUAACUACGUG